Small nuclear RNA from Rhinolophus ferrumequinum (greater horseshoe bat), 103 nucleotides. The record is from Ensembl. NCBI's taxonomy places the organism in Eukaryota, Metazoa, Chordata, Mammalia, Chiroptera, Rhinolophidae.
GUCUCUUCAGCAGCACAUAUACUAAAACUGGACAACAAAGAGAAGACUAGCAUGGUCCCUGGGCAAGAAUGACACAUAAAUUCAUAAACUGUUCUGUAUUUUU